CAGGCAGCCACACCACCAGCACCAUGCUAAGCUGCCAAGCCUGAGUCUCACUGGUACAAACCAGUUUUCAUUUAGUUUUCAGCUUUCAUAAAAGCAUUAUGUCAGACUUUUGCACACUGCUCAGGGGAACAGGAAACUAUUGCAACAUUUAUCUCACAGCAAAAGCAGUGAGCAAAAUCGACCACCCAUCUCAGGAUGUGAGCAGCAACCCCAGAAGGCUCCCACAGGAGCAAGUAACUCCUCUUGAAUGCCAGAAAUAUUAAAGAAGGAUGAACAAUCACCUGCAAGGCCUCUCUCAUACGUUCCCUGUCCACCAGGUUGUGCAGAGGCCUCUCCCUGCCUGAAGGCACAUGCAAGCUGCUGACGGCGGCAUGGUUACAUGCAGACUCAGGCCCCACUGAGUUGGGUUGAGGCUCUGCUCAGAAGUAUUUUGUGACAGCCAGGGGAAUAUUUGUCCCUGCUUGGCACCUUCUCACUGCAACACUGCUCCUGCUCCCUCUGGGCUGCAGUUUCAGCAGUUCCCAGCUGUGAAAGGCUGUACCUGUUUUGUUUUGUUUGCCGUUUAUUGCAUGUGCUUUUGCAAAGGUGUAGCUUGGCAGCAGAGGAGGCCGCAGGCUAGUCUUGUCCUUGCGGGAAGGACAGGCCAAUUCUAAAAGAGCCCUUCUCAAAGAACCUUUUGGAGGAGUGUGUGGAUGGUGGGGGGAGAGGUGCAAGCAAAUGACCAAGCGAGGAGUGAGCCCUCUGGGAUAGCAAAGCUUGCCAGUGCAUGGGAGACCAGAGAAAGCAGCCAGGAACCUCAGAGGGGAGCGGAGACGGACACGGAGCCCGGCUGGGGCGGCACCAAGUCUGCUGCAAGCCAGCCAGCCCCUGAGCUGGUGAACUGGAACAAGCCUGGGAGAAAAGACGUGACCGCGGAGGCAGGAGCACCUUCCUAACAGAGGCUCCUCAAAUGAAAUUUAAGAGGCAAAAUAAUCUGCAUUCAAAGUUUAUAUGGGAUUGAAGGAAACGGAAAGGAAGCAAGAAGCAACAUAAAAGGAACCUGAAGAGGGAAGACCAGGAAUUUCAAUUGGGUGAGCAAAAUGGGACAUGUUCAGUCCUUGACUGGAAUUCGGCAUUCCUCUCCAGGUAAUGUUCUCUGAUAUUAUUGCCUGAGGCUGUCUUACAUGGGAUUUAUUCGAUACCUAAGAAUUUCAUCAUGCUACCAUAGUAAACUACAGUUUACCUGACAGCUAAGAGUCAUCCCCUCAUUUUGUUUUUGCUUUUUAUUUAAAUUUUCUUAGUUUGAACCUUCAUUUUUAAAAAAAUGUUAUUAUUUGGAUAUACUAUAUCUAGUAUUACUAAAUCUAGCUAAUAUGUUUUUCCACAGUGGAACUCCCCAUUAAAUGAGAUGAAGAAUAUAUGAUUUCCCAUUUUCCACCAACGGAUUUCCUGAUUACCUGGUGACUCCAGAUGCACAAGUGAAAGCAAAAACUAGGAGCAUUUUAUUUUGGGCACGAGGCCAGUGUGCUUUCCCAAAUUUAGACAGUAAUGUUUUUGGCCUUGUUAGAUUCUAUCCUGUUGUUAUUGCAGCCAGAGGACUGGUGGUAAGAUUUGUCAAAGCUGCCUAGGUAUGUGCAUCAUAAGAGGAAGAUUUAGACACAGUGAGAAUUAGAAUUAAUGAAGGUACUACUGAUUUUGUCCAGAGUUUUUCUUGCUGAAGGUACUGCUGUAUCUUGUCUUACCUGAUGCAUCUAGGCUGGGGCAAUCCCAAGCACAGAUAGAGGUUGUGUGGAGAAUGGCUUGAGAGCUGCCUUGAGGAGAAGGGUUUGAGAGUGUCAGUUGAUGAAAUAUUCAACAUGAGCCAGCAAUGUGCACUUGCAGCCCAGAAGGCCAACCAUAUCCUGAGUUGCAUCAAGAGAAGCAUGACUAGCAGGUCGAGGGAGGUGAUUC
This 1929-nucleotide long non-coding RNA is filed under the name Numida meleagris (helmeted guineafowl). RNAcentral describes it as "lncRNA (ENSNMEG00000004646.1)". The record is from RNAcentral. Lineage: Eukaryota; Metazoa; Chordata; Aves; Galliformes; Numididae.